This 547-nucleotide long non-coding RNA is filed under the name Theobroma cacao (cacao). Its description in RNAcentral is "long non-coding RNA (TCAC_LNC004224)". The record is from RNAcentral. Lineage: Eukaryota; Viridiplantae; Streptophyta; Magnoliopsida; Malvales; Malvaceae.
GAUGAAAAUCAUUCGGCAAAGAUAUUGAUGCAGUGUGAUAUAUAUUUUUCUUUUAGCCAAAUAGUGAAAUGCACUCAUGGAGUCUCUAAAAGUGUGACAAUCAUUUCAUUGGUUGAGGCUCUUCAAAGUAGUCCUUGUCAAAUAGAAAAGCUGGUUGAUUUGGCUAACAUUAGAGCUACAGAUGAUAGAUGACAUGGUUCCCCUGUCUCAGGAUGCUGCUGCCAGUUCAAAUUGUGUUAAAUUCUUUCCAGAAUCUCCAUUCCUGAAGCAUAUCAAAACCAUUUUGUUAUUUAUCAAUUUGAAACUUGAUUAGUUAAAUGAUAGUACAAUUCAUAACACUUACAUGUCCAACAAGGUUUAACACUUUUGAAUGGUUGAUAAAACCCUCUAUUCUUCUUUCCACAUAUUAUCUCCAGCAAUAAUAAAUACCAAACCCAAAGACACUACCCAGCAAGAAGUGGGUUAAGUUGAGCUUUUGUUUUGGUCUUAUCGCUUGGGUACGCAAUCGAUCAAGAAGUGGAAUUUUUACCAGUAUUUCUUCUCUGAU